Pan troglodytes (chimpanzee) is the source of this 148-nucleotide non-coding RNA. It matches the Rfam family "Metazoan signal recognition particle RNA". Rfam says of the family: The signal recognition particle (SRP) is a universally conserved ribonucleoprotein. It is involved in the co-translational targeting of proteins to membranes. Lineage: Eukaryota; Metazoa; Chordata; Mammalia; Primates; Hominidae. The record is from Rfam.
GCCAGGCGUGGUGGUGCACACCUGUAAUCCCAGCUACUCAGGAGGCUGAGGCAGGAGAAUCACUUGCGCCCGGGAGGCAGAGGCUGCAGUGAGCCAAGAUCGUGCCAUUGCACUCCAGCCCGGGCAACAGAGUGAGACUCUGUCUCAA